Long non-coding RNA from Heterocephalus glaber (naked mole-rat), 995 nucleotides. RefSeq lists it as uncharacterized. NCBI's taxonomy places the organism in Eukaryota, Metazoa, Chordata, Mammalia, Rodentia, Bathyergidae. The record is from RefSeq and is a predicted model, not a curated record.
CAUAUCACCGUUAGGUGCUGCUACUUGACAGUAUAGUAAAGGGAUUGAAAUCUAAACAAAAUCUUUUUCCUUCCUCCCUUUUUUUUUCUUUUGUGCUUGUUGACUGUCAAGCCCUAUACUAUACUCUGCAGAUACUGCAAUAAACAAGACAAAAAGUCUUAUGAAGCAGAUGAGUCAUUACUAUAGGAAGUGAGUUUAGAAGAGAGCUUCUAUUUCGAGUUUAUGCUGAAGUAGGUGAGACAUGAGAAAGCCCAUCUAUGUGGAACCUGAAGGCCAACCUCAGAGGAACCUGUUGUCUCUCCUCCAGGAACUCAUCUGUGUCCAGGAAGAUGCUUGUUCUAUUCUAAUCAGAAGCCAGUGGGUGCUGGCCUGCUGGCUGGCUGUAAACCGGAGAAUGAGCGGAGGCCAGGGAGUGUGAGCAUAUCUUCAGGCCACCACUCUGGUCUCACCCUUAGUCAACUACACUGGCCCCUUGACCAGUUUCACAGCACCGACUCCUACUAUCUUCUAACAGACUGGCUGCUGCCACUGUGAUAUUUCUGGACAAUCACCUGGAACACAUUCUGUUGUUUAAAACCUUCCAGUGGCAUCUCUGUGCUCUUGUCACAGUAUUGAAAAGCUGACUAAUACAACCUGUAAGACCCUAAAUGAUCAAACAAGUCUAUAUCUGAAACCUUAUCUGGACACUCUUCUCCUUAUUACUGACAGUCCAGCCAAACCAGCUUUAGCAAUGUAAAUGAACCAAGAGCUCUUCUCCUUAAAAGACCAUUUCACUAGACAUUCCUUCUGCCCAUAAUAUCUCCCACUUCUCCAGACACCUCUCAGCCCCUGCUGAUGAUCAAGAUCAUUUAAAAACUAGGUAGGAAUCAAAGAGAGUCAUCAGUUUGCUGAAUGUCAGAGCUAGAAAAGGGGCAGUGAAACCUGUGGCCACAUUUUAUAAUGUGGGGAUGGGGAAACUGAGGUCAAGAUGAUAUCAAAGAGCAGAUCUAAAAUGU